CAAAUAUUUCACCCGAUAUGAUUGUGAAAUUUGUACAAAAAAAAACAUUGUGUAUGUAUUAAUAAAAAUCUAACAUUAUGUGAAAAUAAUUUUUUUUUCCUUAAAUCCUAAAUAAAAGAAAUAUGAAAAAUAAAUUUUUCCUCAUAAAAAAUUGAUUAUUAUUAUUGUCACCGUACAUAUGUUUAGUCAAAAACAAAUCAAGCUUCAUCAUUAUCUUAUUACAUUUUUUAUUUUUACUAUGUAGUACUUUAUAAUUUAUUUUAAUUAAAAUGUUAUUAUGAAAAUAUAUCAUUAAUAAAAAAUGAAUCAAAAAAAUUAUUUAACAUCAGAUAAGUUUAAUAAAACAUUAAAUUAGUACAUAAGAAAGUGUAUAAUGUUGUCAUUGCUUCUUGGUCUUAUUUAACUUCCAAAUUCCUUUUUAUUUCAUUAUAAUUAUUAUUUCGGGUUGGAUCCGGUUUAAAUUUUUACGUUUGGAUAUUUUUUCUAGCUCUAACAAAUACUAACUGAAACUUAUGUGUGAAAACGAGUUCUUAACUAUAAAAUAAAUUUCACAUGACAUAUAUAAAAACAAUUUUAAAACAAGAAUAAAAUAAUUUUUUAAUAUUUUUUAUUAAAUUAAAAUAUCAAGUAAAACCCGUUGCAACGUACGGGCCCAAAUCUAGUUAGAAAUAAAUUGACAUUUGACUAAUACCUUUUCUAUUUCCUAUUAAGUGUAACUAUAGAUUUUAAAAUAUAUUCCAUUAUUAUUUUCUAUAUUUUAAAUGCAUUUAUUCAAUAGAUUUUUUAAAUUAUCUUAAUUUUAGUUUAUUAGUUAACAAAAUAAACAAAUAGUAUACUAGUAGUUAGAGACAAACAGAAAAUUUAAUGGGUUUUUAAUGUGUAAAUUUUUAACUGAUAUUCAUUGAUUGUAAAAAGGAGAAAGUAAAUAAAAUGACAUUUAAACUUCAAUUCGUGCAGGUUGAUGGCAGGUGCAAGAGAUGUGGAGAAAGUGAAUCCGUUAUUCAUGUUAUGUUCCACUGUCCAUUUGCAAGGAGAAUCUGGGAAGCUUGUCAUGCAAUGUUUGUACCAUCUACUAGCUCAGUCUCUUCGACUGAGGAACUACCCAAGACGUGCACUAAAAUGCAUAAUCUCCUGCCGGUGGGCUUGUCGGUACCGAUGUACCCUUGGAUCUUGUGGGUUCUAUGGACAAGCAGAAACCAAUUAUGCUUCGAAGAUAAGUCUUUUUCGGAAUCAGAUGUGUUGACCAAAGCCAUUAAAAGUGCUCAUGAAUGGCAAAAUGCUAAUACAAAGCACCAAAACCCCCUCUGAUUCGCCCAAAGACUGUCAAAGCAAAGCAGUUCGAAUACAUACCCCAGCCGUCCCACAGGUAAACAACAAUAUCUUCUCUUGUUACUCCGAUGCUGCUUGGAACAGCUCCACCGGUGCAGGAGGAUUAGGAUGGAUUUGUUUGAAACCAGAUGGAGCUACGCUAGUCCAGGGCUCGACUUCAACUGAAGUGGUAGCAUCUGUGCUGAUUGCGGAAGCGCUGGCAUUGAAGGCAGCUAUGGAAGCUGCGAUAUCACACAAAGUUAAAGACUUGAUUUGUUUCUCUAAUUCAAAAAGUCUCAUCUCUCUCAUCACAGGAAACAAGUCUGUGAUUGAGCUCCAAAGAAUCCUCCAUGACAUCUGUGUGUUGCGCCUCUCCUUGACUUCUAUCUCUUUUAAAUUUUAUCAAUUGCACCUGUAAUGCGCCCGCUGAUCAGUUGGCUAAAGAUGCUCUGUUUUUGUUGCAAAACUCUGUUGCUAGAGAUGUAACCGUUAUUUAAGUUUCUAAAGGAAAGGUUUGAUAGAAAAAGAAACUUUUCUAAAUAAAAUAAUGUAAACAUAAACCAGGAGAGAGAGGGGGUGGGGGUGUCUUCGAUCGUAGUCGUUUCUCUCUUCUCUCUCUCUCGUGAUUCUCUCCCUCUCCGCUUCACUCUCGACGACGAUCAUGGAGACGUCGAGGCUACCGUUGUCGUCUUUCGUCUUCGAUUAGAGGAAAGCUGAUAUCGGCUGGUUAUACUUCUCUGUCGUCGAUUUCAUCUGUCGAUUUAACUACUUUGGGGAUCGAUAAGGCGGCAGCCGAUGGGGAGCUAAGAGUAUUUAUCGUCGCCGGCGAUAACAUCGGCUCUCGUCUUAUGUAAAAUCAAUGAUGGUGCAAGCAAGGAUUGACUUCGUUGUUUCCCAUGGAGGAUUUGGCUGUAAUGGGGUGAAGUUGAAGGAGACUAUUGAUGCUGCAGUUAUGUUUAAGCCACACGUUGUUGUGACUGUUGAUUGAAAGGGCUUCUCUUUCCGUCUACUUAAAGAGUUGAGAGCUGGACUAUUUUGGAACAAUCUUGAGUCUCUAUGCUGUCUAAGCUUGAUGUUAACUCCGGACAACUUACGCUUCAUGUGCUUUGAAUGUUGGUUGAAUGAGACCAUUUGAAAAUCUUACUUGUAUUCUUGCUUUGCAUCUUCUGCUGGUUCUUUUCCAAUAUGAAGAAGAGUUUGUUAAAUAUUCUGGUUGAUUGAGUUGCUUUACUUGCUUCUGUUUCCUCCCCCUUGAAUAUGUAUUUAUUUUUUCAGUUGUUUUGCAAAUGUGAUUCUACAAUGCCUAUCAUGGACACGUCCUCUUGUUCAUACCUACUAGAGAGAAUUCUAUCUUUUGCUAAUCAAUGCUUCAAACUCGUUCGUUUGGUUUU
Brassica napus (rape) is the source of this 2699-nucleotide long non-coding RNA. RefSeq lists it as uncharacterized. Lineage: Eukaryota; Viridiplantae; Streptophyta; Magnoliopsida; Brassicales; Brassicaceae. The record is from RefSeq and is a predicted model, not a curated record. The transcript has 3 exons.